AGGUAAAAGAUAAAAAAGUUUGAGUUGUUGGAAGCCAACAAUCAGAAUGCUGGAAAAGUUAUAUAUUGGAAAUCACCUAAUUUCAUUGAAAUAGAAUAUAGUAAUAUUUAGGGAAUCUUUCUGUGUGAAAAUAAAAUCAAUAAGCCCCUCUACAUUCUAUGAAGUCUGCUGGCAAUUAGACAAGGAUAAAUUAGCCUCUGCCUGGACUACCAUGGUUAGAUUUCCAUAUCACUGUCAGAGAAGUCUGGAAAUGAGAGGAAAUGCCUUUCAAGCAGGAAGUCUCAAAACCAGUUUAUUGCAGCAGAUGGUUCAAACAGUGAAGCUGAAGAGUAAUUGGAUGAGCUAUAGGAGUUAUUUCACAUGUGAUAGCACCAGCAAAUGGUGGUAGGUAACCUCAUUAGCAAAUAGACUUCAGCAGCUGUUAGAAUAGAUGUUAAAAAAGAAGACAUUUAGUAAAGAAACUAGAGACAAUUUAUAAGCUUUUUGGAUUAAUUAGAUAACUGUUCACAAGGAAUAUUGUAUUCCACUUAAAACUCCAGAUUUGUAUGUAUAAUUCACACAGCAGGUAUACAGCAGUCAGCCCUCACCUAAAGAGAUAGAACUCACUCUAGAAGUGCUUUAAACCAACUUUGGAACAUGACAAAAAUACUACCUAAAUGUGUCCUGUUUACAUGUAAGCAGAAGAUAAAAGUUCAUUCCUGAAGACCCAUAAUUAACUUACUUUCCUACUUGUGCUAAUUUUAUAUAUAUGUAUAUUUUCUUAUGAAGUUAUAUCCUUUUAAAACAUGUUUCAUCUGAAAAAAAGUGAUAAGGACUUUUGGAAGGUAACUAAUUUAUUCGUAACCCUGUGAGAGUUCCUUUAGGUUUGACAUUUU
This 875-nucleotide long non-coding RNA is filed under the name Numida meleagris (helmeted guineafowl). Its description in RNAcentral is "lncRNA (ENSNMEG00000022787.1)". The record is from RNAcentral. Lineage: Eukaryota; Metazoa; Chordata; Aves; Galliformes; Numididae.